Molecule: ribosomal RNA, 471 nt
Filed under: uncultured bacterium
Lineage: Bacteria
Description: SSU rRNA
Rfam family: Bacterial small subunit ribosomal RNA
Source: RNAcentral
AGGACUAACGCUGGCGGCGUGCCUAACACAUGCAAGUCGAACGAGGUAGCAAUACCUAGUGGCAGACGGGUGAGUAACGCGUAGUCAACCUACCUUUUAGUGGGGGAUAACUAGCCGAAAGGUUAGCUAAUACCGCAUACGAUCGUCGAGUGGCAUCACUUGACGCUGAAAGCAGCAAUGCGCUAAGAGACGGGACUGCGUCCCAUUAGCUAGUUGGUGGGGUAACGGCCUACCAAGGCUCCGAUGGGUAGCUGGCUUGAGAGAGCGACCAGCCACACUGGAACUGAGACACGGCCCAGACUCCUACGGGAGGCAGCAGUGGGGAAUAUUGCGCAAUGGGCGAAAGCCUGACGCAGCGACGCCGCGUGGGGGAUGAAGGCCUUCGGGUUGUAACCCCUUUCAGCAGGGACGAAGCGAAAGUGACGGUACCUGCAGAAGAGCGCCGGCUAACUACGUGCCAGCAGCCGCGGU